This 435-nucleotide ribosomal RNA is filed under the name uncultured bacterium. Its description in RNAcentral is "partial 16S ribosomal RNA". It matches the Rfam family "Bacterial small subunit ribosomal RNA", at positions 29 to 507 of the family's 1533-position model. The record is from RNAcentral.
AGCGAACGCUGGCGGCAGGCUUAACACAUGCAAGUCGAGCGGGCAUCUUCGGAUGUCAGCGGCAGACGGGUGAGUAACACGUGGGAACGUACCCUUCGGUUCGGAACAACUCUGGGAAACUGGAGCUAAUACCGGAUACGCCCUUAUGGGGAAAGGUUUACUGCCGAAGGAUCGGCCCGCGUCUGAUUAGCUAGUUGGUGGGGUAACGGCCUACCAAGGCGACGAUCAGUAGCUGGUCUGAGAGGAUGAUCAGCCACACUGGGACUGAGACACGGCCCAGACUCCUACGGGAAGCAGCAGUGGGGAAUAUUGGACAAUGGGCGCAAGCCUGAUCCAGCCAUGCCGCGUGAGUGAUGAAGGCCUUAGGGUUGUAAAGCUCUUUUGUCCGGGACGUUAAUGACGGUACCGGAAGAAUAAGCCCCGGCUAACUUCGUG